CUGAAGUGAGUCUUCAUCAUUGAAGCUUCUUCCCAUUGUGCUGGCUUUGACCGUAUGUAAUGUUGGGGAUUAAACAUGGUUGAAUUUUUUUAGCCGUCCCCAACAAUUUAUCUUAUCCUUUAUAAAAUUGAACUGAACUCAUUUUGAGAUUACAUAAAAAAUAA
This 164-nucleotide unclassified non-coding RNA is filed under the name Umbelopsis ramanniana. Lineage: Eukaryota; Fungi; Mucoromycota; Umbelopsidomycetes; Umbelopsidales; Umbelopsidaceae. The record is from RNAcentral.